Molecule: ribosomal RNA, 432 nt
Filed under: uncultured bacterium
Lineage: Bacteria
Description: partial 16S ribosomal RNA
Rfam family: Bacterial small subunit ribosomal RNA
Source: RNAcentral
CGAACGCUGGCGGCAGGCCUAACACAUGCAAGUCGAACGAACCUUUCGGGGUUAGUGGCGGACGGGUGAGUAACACGUGGGAACGUGCCUUUAGGUUCGGAAUAACUCAGGGAAACUUGUGCUAAUACCGAAUGUGCCCUUCGGGGGAAAGAUCUAUCGCCUUUAGAGCGGCCCGCGUCUGAUUAGCUAGUUGGUUGAGGUAAUGGCUCACCAAGGCGACGAUCAGUAGCUGGUCUGAGAGGAUGAUCAGCCACAUUGGGACUGAGACACGGCCCAAACUCCUACGGGAGGCAGCAGUGGGGAAUCUUGCGCAAUGGGCGAAAGCCUGACGCAGCCAUGCCGCGUGAAUGAUGAAGGUCUUAGGAUUGUAAAAUUCUUUCACCGGGGACGAUAAUGACGGUACCCGGAGAAGAAGCCCCGGCUAACUUCGUG